AGUUGUACGAGUUGAGACUCGUAGCAGAUAGCUCAGUAACACGUGGCCAAACUACCCUAUGGAUCCAGACAACCUCGGGAAACUGAGGCUAAUCUGGAAUAGGGCUCUCAUCCUGGAGUGGAGAGAGCCUGAAAUGCUCCGGCGCCAUAGGAUGUGGCUGCGGCCGAUUAGGUAGACGGUGGGGUAACGGCCCACCGUGCCAGUAAUCGGUACGGGUUGUGAGAGCAAGAGCCCGGAGACGGUAUCUGAGACAAGAUACCGGGCCCUACGGGGCGCAGCAGGCGCGAAACCUUUACACUGCACGCCAGUGCGAUAAGGGGACUCCAAGUGCGAGGGCAUAUAGUCCUCGCUUUUUGCGACCGUAAGGUGGUCGCGGAAUAAGUGCUGGGCAAGACCGGUGCCAGCCGCCGCGGUAAUACCGGCAGCACGAGUGAUG
Molecule: ribosomal RNA, 436 nt
Filed under: Natrialba hulunbeirensis
Lineage: Archaea; Methanobacteriati; Methanobacteriota; Halobacteria; Halobacteriales; Natrialbaceae
Description: bacterial SSU rRNA
Rfam family: Archaeal small subunit ribosomal RNA
Source: RNAcentral